RNAcentral lists this ribosomal RNA (793 nucleotides) under uncultured Pelagibacteraceae bacterium. RNAcentral describes it as "bacterial SSU rRNA". It matches the Rfam family "Bacterial small subunit ribosomal RNA", at positions 46 to 887 of the family's 1533-position model. The record is from RNAcentral. Lineage: Bacteria; Pseudomonadati; Pseudomonadota; Alphaproteobacteria; Candidatus Pelagibacterales; Candidatus Pelagibacteraceae.
GCCUAACACAUGCAAGUCGAACGAAGUAGCAAUACUUAGUGGCAGACGGGUGAGUAACAUGUAGGUAUCUGCCCUUUGGCCUGGAAUAACACGAGGAAACUUGUGCUAAUACCGGAUAAGUCUUUACGGAGAAAGCUUUAUGCACCAUUGGAUGAGCCUGCACUUGAUUAGUUUGUUGGUGGGGUAAUGGCCUACCAAGACUGUGAUCAAUAGCUGAUUUGAGAGGAUGAUCAGCCACAUUGGGACUGAGACACGGCCCAAACUCCUACGGGAGGCAGCAGUGGGGAAUCUUGCACAAUGGAGGAAACUCUGAUGCAGCGAUGCCGCGUGAGUGAAGAAGGCCUUUGGGUUGUAAAGCUCUUUCGUCGGGGAAGAAAAUGACUGUACCCGAAUAAGAAGGUCCGGCUAACUUCGUGCCAGCAGCCGCGGUAAUACGAAGGGACCUAGCGUAGUUCGGAAUUACUGGGCUUAAAGAGUUCGUAGGUGGUUGAAAAAGUUGGUGGUGAAAUCCCAGAGCUUAACUCUGGAACUGCCAUCAAAACUUUUCAGCUAGAGUAUGAUAGAGGAAAGCAGAAUUUCUAGUGUAGAGGUGAAAUUCGUAGAUAUUAGAAAGAAUACCAAUUGCGAAGGCAGCUUUCUGGAUCAUUACUGACACUGAGGAACGAAAGCAUGGGUAGCGAAGAGGAUUAGAUACCCUCGUAGUCCAUGCCGUAAACGAUGUGUGUUAGACGUUGGAAAUUUAUUUUCAGUGUCGCAGCGAAAGCGAUAAACACACCGCCUGGGGAGUACGACC